This 263-nucleotide ribosomal RNA is filed under the name uncultured bacterium. RNAcentral describes it as "partial 16S ribosomal RNA". It matches the Rfam family "Bacterial small subunit ribosomal RNA", at positions 96 to 354 of the family's 1533-position model. The record is from RNAcentral.
UGGCAACGGGUGAGUAACACGUGGGCAACCUGCCCAAAAGAGGGGGAUAACACUUGGAAACAGGUGCUAAUACCGCAUAACCAUAGUUACCGCAUGGUAACUAUGUAAAAGGUGGCUAUGCUACCGCUUUUGGAUGGGCCCGCGGCGCAUUAGCUAGUUGGUGGGGUAAAGGCUUACCAAGGCAAUGAUGCGUAGCCGAACUGAGAGGUUGAUCGGCCACAUUGGGACUGAGACACGGCCCAAACUCCUACGGAAGGCAGCAG